This 672-nucleotide ribosomal RNA is filed under the name Limosilactobacillus fermentum. RNAcentral's name for it is "bacterial SSU rRNA". It matches the Rfam family "Bacterial small subunit ribosomal RNA", at positions 60 to 688 of the family's 1533-position model. Lineage: Bacteria; Bacillati; Bacillota; Bacilli; Lactobacillales; Lactobacillaceae. The record is from RNAcentral.
AGUCGAACGCGUUGGCCCAAUUGAUUGAUGGUGCUUGCACCUGAUUGAUUUUGGUCGCCAACGAGUGGCGGACGGGUGAGUAACACGUAGGUAACCUGCCCAGAAGCGGGGGACAACAUUUGGAAACAGAUGCUAAUACCGCAUAACAACGUUGUUCGCAUGAACAACGCUUAAAAGAUGGCUUCUCGCUAUCACUUCUGGAUGGACCUGCGGUGCAUUAGCUUGUUGGUGGGGUAACGGCCUACCAAGGCGAUGAUGCAUAGCCGAGUUGAGAGACUGAUCGGCCACAAUGGGACUGAGACACGGCCCAUACUCCUACGGGAGGCAGCAGUAGGGAAUCUUCCACAAUGGGCGCAAGCCUGAUGGAGCAACACCGCGUGAGUGAAGAAGGGUUUCGGCUCGUAAAGCUCUGUUGUUAAAGAAGAACACGUAUGAGAGUAACUGUUCAUACGUUGACGGUAUUUAACCAGAAAGUCACGGCUAACUACGUGCCAGCAGCCGCGGUAAUACGUAGGUGGCAAGCGUUAUCCGGAUUUAUUGGGCGUAAAGAGAGUGCAGGCGGUUUUCUAAGUCUGAUGUGAAAGCCUUCGGCUUAACCGGAGAAGUGCAUCGGAAACUGGAUAACUUGAGUGCAGAAGAGGGUAGUGGAACUCCAUGUGUAGCGGUGGAAUG